CGUAGGGAAACCGAGUCUUAACCGGGCGUUAAGUUGCAGGGUAUAGACCCGAAACCCGGUGAUCUAGCCAUGGGCAGGUUGAAGGUUGGGUAACACUAACUGGAGGACCGAACCGACUAAUGUUGAAAAAUUAGCGGAUGACCUGUGGCUGGGGGUGAAAGGCCAAUCAAACCGGGAGAUAGCUGGUUCUCCCCGAAAGCUAUUUAGGUAGCGCCUCGUGAAUUCAUCUCCGGGGGUAGAGCACUGUUUCGGCUAGGGGGCCAUCCCGGCUUACCAACCCGAUGCAAACUGCGAAUACCGGAGAAUGUUAUCACGGGAGACACACGGCGGGUGCUAACGUCCGUCGUGAAGAGGGAAACAACCCAGACCGCCAGCUAAGGUCCCAAAGUCAUGGUUAAGUGGGAAACGAUGUGGGAAGGCCCAGACAGCCAGGAUGUUGGCUUAGAAGCAGCCAUCAUUUAAAGAAAGCGUAAUAGCUCACUGGUCGAGUCGGCCUGCGCGGAAGAUGUAACGGGGCUAAACCAUGCACCGAAGCUGCGGCAGCGAACGUAUCACCCAAGACAACUUUACGGAGUUGACGAUUGACGGAGCGAAGCGACGUCAAAGCGUUCAUUAAAGUCGAGUUGGCUUAGGGAUACGUUCGUUGGGUAGGGGAGCGUUCUGUAAGCCUGUGAAGGUGUG
RNAcentral lists this ribosomal RNA (681 nucleotides) under Salmonella enterica subsp. enterica serovar Heidelberg. Its description in RNAcentral is "partial 23S ribosomal RNA". It matches the Rfam family "Bacterial large subunit ribosomal RNA", at positions 667 to 1260 of the family's 2925-position model. Lineage: Bacteria; Pseudomonadati; Pseudomonadota; Gammaproteobacteria; Enterobacterales; Enterobacteriaceae. The record is from RNAcentral.